RNAcentral lists this transfer RNA (85 nucleotides) under Candidatus Woesearchaeota archaeon. RNAcentral describes it as "tRNA-Phe". It matches the Rfam family "tRNA". Rfam says of the family: Transfer RNA (tRNA) molecules are approximately 80 nucleotides in length. Their secondary structure includes four short double-helical elements and three loops (D, anti-codon, and T loops). The record is from RNAcentral. Lineage: Archaea; Nanobdellati; Candidatus Woesearchaeota.
GUCCGUGUUGCCUAAUCCGGUAUGGCAGAUGUCUGAAAAACAUCGUCUCGGGAGAGACUUCCGGGUUCAAAUCCCGGCACGGACU